UAACGCGUAAUCAACCUGCCCUUCAGAGGGGGACAACAGUUGGAAACGACUGCUAAUACCGCAUAAGCCCACAGCUCGGCAUCGAGCAGAGGGAAAAGGAGUGAUCCGCUUUGAGAUGGCCUCGCGUCCGAUUAGCUAGUUGGUGAGGUAAUGGCCCACCAGGGCGACGAUCGGUAGCCGGACUGAGAGGUUGAACGGCCACAUUGGGACUGAGACACGGCCCAG
Molecule: ribosomal RNA, 225 nt
Filed under: uncultured bacterium
Lineage: Bacteria
Description: partial 16S ribosomal RNA
Rfam family: Bacterial small subunit ribosomal RNA
Source: RNAcentral